UAGAGAGGGUGCGAGCGUUAAUCGGAAUUACUGGGCGUAAAGGGCGCGUAGGCGGAUGAAUAAGUUGGGUGUGAAAGUCCUGGGCUUAACCUGGGGAUUGCAUUCAAUACUGUUUGUCUGGAGUGAAGUAGAGGGUGGCGGAAUUUCCGGUGUAGCGGUGAAAUGCGUAGAUAUCGGAAGGAACAUCAGUGGCGAAGGCGGCUAACUGGACGGGGACUGACGCUGAGACGCGAAAGCGUGGGGAGCAAACAGG
RNAcentral lists this ribosomal RNA (253 nucleotides) under uncultured bacterium. Its description in RNAcentral is "partial 16S ribosomal RNA". It matches the Rfam family "Bacterial small subunit ribosomal RNA", at positions 524 to 776 of the family's 1533-position model. The record is from RNAcentral.